AAGAAGUUAGUUUAAUAAAAACACUUGAUUUCGGCUCAAGAACUUAUGGUUAAAACCCCUAACCUCUUA
RNAcentral lists this transfer RNA (69 nucleotides) under Callopanchax toddi. Its description in RNAcentral is "tRNA-Arg". It matches the Rfam family "tRNA". From Rfam's summary of the family: Transfer RNA (tRNA) molecules are approximately 80 nucleotides in length. Their secondary structure includes four short double-helical elements and three loops (D, anti-codon, and T loops). The record is from RNAcentral. Lineage: Eukaryota; Metazoa; Chordata; Actinopteri; Cyprinodontiformes; Nothobranchiidae.